This 540-nucleotide ribosomal RNA is filed under the name Triticum aestivum (bread wheat). RNAcentral's name for it is "partial small subunit ribosomal RNA". The record is from RNAcentral. Lineage: Eukaryota; Viridiplantae; Streptophyta; Magnoliopsida; Poales; Poaceae.
AUGGCUCGGCGGCCGGGAGGAAAUACAGGAGCCGGACGUCGUCGCCAGAACUCCGAGUGGUCGCCUUUCGACCAGAAGAUGCAGCGGCGCAGUGGCGAGAAUCUCGUGGUGCUCUCUGCACCAAGAUCCCCAACCAUUUGCUGCAAAACUUGGGCUCCAAGGACACGCAGAGAGGAUAGAGCAGCAAAAUCCCUUUCCUCCCUCUUCUUCCAGUCCACCUCCAUGGCAGCUCGAGAAGAAGUGGGGAAGAAAGGACUUGAGCUCCAGAUCUGGGACACCCACGAGCUUAUUUGGGGGAGGAACGCCGACGAAAAUCUCCUCUGCCUCUGGCUCCGACCACCGGAGCACCGUGAAGAGGAGCUUCACCGCCGCAAGCAGCUGGUCACAGCUCGCCUGCACCAGCCGCAUGCCUCCCGACGGCAUGACGCCAGUCCUAAAAGCAACCUUACAUCUACUCUGUACAUCAACCCAAGCUCUUCUCCCUACCCUACUCCGGCCGGCCAUGCCGUCGGAGAGGAGAGGGGCCCGAGCCGGGCCUGA